Molecule: ribosomal RNA, 302 nt
Filed under: uncultured bacterium
Lineage: Bacteria
Description: partial 16S ribosomal RNA
Rfam family: Bacterial small subunit ribosomal RNA
Source: RNAcentral
GCAGCCGCCACGGUAAUACAGAGGGUGCGAGCGUUAAUCGGAUUUACUGGGCGUAAAGCGUGCGUAGGCGGCUUCUUAAGUCGGAUGUGAAAUCCCUGAGCUUAACUUAGGAAUUGCAUUCGAUACUGGGAAGCUAGAGUAUGGGAGAGGAUGGUAGAAUUCCAGGUGUAGCGGUGAAAUGCGUAGAGAUCUGGAGGAAUACCGAUGGCGAAGGCAGCCAUCUGGCCUAAUACUGACGCUGAGGUACGAAAGCAUGGGGAGCAAACAGGAUUAGAUACCCCCGUAGUCCCUGUCUCUUAUAC